UACGUAUGGUGCAAGCGUUAUCCGGAUUUACUGGGUGUAAAGGGAGCGCAGGCGGUGCGGCAAGUCUGAUGUGAAAGCCCGGGGCUCAACCCCGGUACUGCAUUGGAAACUGUCGUACUAGAGUGUCGGAGGGGUAAGUGGAAUUCCUAGUGUAGCGGUGAAAUGUGUAGAUAUUAGGAGGAACACCAGUGGCGAAGGCGGCUUACUGGACGAUAACUGACGCUGAGGCUCGAAAGCGUGGGGAGCAAACAGG
RNAcentral lists this ribosomal RNA (253 nucleotides) under Roseburia faecis M72/1. Its description in RNAcentral is "partial 16S ribosomal RNA". It matches the Rfam family "Bacterial small subunit ribosomal RNA", at positions 524 to 776 of the family's 1533-position model. Lineage: Bacteria; Bacillati; Bacillota; Clostridia; Lachnospirales; Lachnospiraceae. The record is from RNAcentral.